Molecule: transfer RNA, 66 nt
Filed under: Chloroceryle aenea (American pygmy kingfisher)
Lineage: Eukaryota; Metazoa; Chordata; Aves; Coraciiformes; Cerylidae
Description: tRNA-Ser
Source: RNAcentral
GAGGGGAGGUCUAACCAACAAGAACUGCUAACUCUUGCACCCGAGUCUAAAACCCCGGUCCCCUUA